This 328-nucleotide long non-coding RNA is filed under the name Trifolium pratense (red clover). RNAcentral's name for it is "long non-coding RNA (TPRA_LNC003168)". Lineage: Eukaryota; Viridiplantae; Streptophyta; Magnoliopsida; Fabales; Fabaceae. The record is from RNAcentral.
UUACAAUUACAAAAAAGCAUCAAAUACCUUCUAAACAAGCUAGAGGAUUAGUGCACCAAUUGUAAAAAAUGUAACAAGAAUUGUGUCCUUUCCUAUUGAGAAACCAUUGCCAAGAGAAAAACUUGAUUUUAGAAAUCAAAGCAUCCAAGCUAAUUACACCUCCUUUGAAAAUAAUAUUGUUUCUCAACAACCAUAUGCUCCAAGUUGUUGUACACCAAAUAAGGUGUCUAACUUUGUUGUGUCUGCUGCUCUUAAGAAAGCUUCCAAAAGCCAAAAAGUGUCCCCAUCCAGUUUCUAAGGAAAUGAAUUCAGUCCCCAUCCAAGAGUG